CCUACAGGUGGCAGCAGUGGGGAAUAUUGGACAAUGGGGGGAACCCUGAUCCAGCCAUGCCGCGUGUGUGAAGAAGGCCCUCGGGUUGUAAAGCACUUUCAGUGAGGAAGAACGCCUGGUGGUUAAUACCCAUCAGGAAAGACAUCACUCACAGAAGAAGCACCGGCUAACUCCGUGCCAGCAGCCGCGGUAAUACGGAGGGUGCGAGCGUUAAUCGGAAUUACUGGGCGUAAAGCGCGCGUAGGUGGCUUGAUAAGCCGGUUGUGAAAGCCCCGGGCUCAACCUGGGAACGGCAUCCGGAACUGUCAAGCUAGAGUGCAGGAGAGGAAGGUAGAAUUCCCGGUGUAGCGGUGAAAUGCGUAGAGAUCGGGAGGAAUACCAGUGGCGAAGGCGGCCUUCUGGACUGACACUGACACUGAGGUGCGAAAGCGUGGGUAGCAAACAGGAUUAGAUACCCUAGUAGUC
This 465-nucleotide ribosomal RNA is filed under the name Vreelandella stevensii. RNAcentral describes it as "partial 16S ribosomal RNA". It matches the Rfam family "Bacterial small subunit ribosomal RNA", at positions 338 to 795 of the family's 1533-position model. The record is from RNAcentral. Lineage: Bacteria; Pseudomonadati; Pseudomonadota; Gammaproteobacteria; Oceanospirillales; Halomonadaceae.